GGGACUUAAAAUCCCUCACUCGCAAGAGUAUCCGGGUUCGAUUCCCGGCUCCGGCACCA
RNAcentral lists this transfer RNA (59 nucleotides) under Leptospirillum sp. Group II '5-way CG'. Its description in RNAcentral is "tRNA-Leu". The record is from RNAcentral. Lineage: Bacteria; Pseudomonadati; Nitrospirota; Nitrospiria; Nitrospirales; Nitrospiraceae.